Molecule: ribosomal RNA, 253 nt
Filed under: uncultured bacterium
Lineage: Bacteria
Description: partial 16S ribosomal RNA
Rfam family: Bacterial small subunit ribosomal RNA
Source: RNAcentral
UACGUAGGGUGCAAGCGUUGUCCGGAAUUAUUGGGCGUAAAGAGCUCGUAGGCGGUCUGUCGCGUCUGCUGUGAAAACUCGGGGCUUAACCCCGGGCCUGCAGUGGGUACGGGCAGACUAGAGUGCGGUAGGGGAGACUGGAAUUCCUGGUGUAGCGGUGAAAUGCGCAGAUACCGGGAGGAACACCCGCAGCGAAGGCGGCUGGCUGGGCCAUUCCUGACGCUGAGGCGCGAAGGCUCGGGGAGCGAACGGG